This 557-nucleotide ribosomal RNA is filed under the name uncultured fungus. RNAcentral describes it as "eukaryotic LSU rRNA". The stretch from base 206 to 359 matches the Rfam family "5.8S ribosomal RNA". The record is from RNAcentral. Lineage: Eukaryota; Fungi.
CGUACANGUCUCCGUAGGUGAACCUGCGGAGGGAUCAUUACACAAAUAUGAAGGCGGGCUGGAACCUCUCGGGGUUACAGCCUUGCUGAAUUAUUCACCCUUGUCUUUUGCGUACUUCUUGUUUCCUUGGUGGGUUCGCCCACCACUAGGACAAACAUAAACCUUUUGUAAUUGCAAUCAGCGUCAGUAACAAAUUAAUAAUUACAACUUUCAACAACGGAUCUCUUGGUUCUGGCAUCGAUGAAGAACGCAGCGAAAUGCGAUAAGUAGUGUGAAUUGCAGAAUUCAGUGAAUCAUCGAAUCUUUGAACGCACAUUGCGCCCUUUGGUAUUCCAAAGGGCAUGCCUGUUCGAGCGUCAUUUGUACCCUCAAGCUUUGCUUGGUGUUGGGCGUCUUGUCUCUAGCUUUGCUGGAGACUCGCCUUAAAGUAAUUGGCAGCCGGCCUACCGGUUUCGGAGCGCAGCACAAGUCGCACUCUCUAUCAGCAAAGGUCUAGCAUCCAUUAAGCCUUUUUUUCAACUUUUGACCUCGGAUCAGGUAGGGAUACCCGCUGAACU